This is a long non-coding RNA of Daphnia pulex (common water flea), 1199 nucleotides long. RefSeq lists it as uncharacterized. The transcript has 7 exons. Lineage: Eukaryota; Metazoa; Arthropoda; Branchiopoda; Diplostraca; Daphniidae. The record is from RefSeq and is a predicted model, not a curated record.
UUUUGUUUUGAUCAGGAAGCAGACAACGAGACUUGCAGACGAGUUACUCAUUUGUUCAUGUGUGUUUAUUUUAUAGAUCAUUGAGAUCAUAUCACCACUUAGACGGAACAGCUUCAGCUUACCAAUUAAUUCUCCAAGUUUUUAGAAGAAGGAUUUGACUUGGCUAGUCAACAACACAAGCCAAAAAGAUCAUUGAGAUCAUAUCACCACUGUUACACGGAACAGGUUCAGCUUACCAAUUCUCCAAGUUUUUAGAAGAAGGAUUUGACUUGGCUAGUCAACAACACAAGCCAAGAUCAUUGAUAUCAUAUCAUCACUGUUACAUGGAACACCUUUAGUUGUUGUAAAGAUGCUGCCAGCUAUCCAGCUAAUGUUGAAGGCAUGCAGUCUCAAUCGAUCAUCAUAAACUAGUUAUCUCUGCCAACAUCAGUGAUAUUGUUUGUACCAAACACACUCAGGCAUGCCUUAGUGUGAACUGAGUUCAUUGUAAGUGCCCCUCCAAUAACUCAGUGCAAUUUUAAUGUGGUGAUUUUAUACUUUUUUAAUUAAGUUCAUUUGUACUUAAAUAGGAGUUUUUAUUUUAUUUAUUAUUUUGUUAUUUCACAUUUUCAUGACAUGGCAACGUCAUGAAAAUUUGCACAUUUCAAACAUAUCGGCAACGUUUAGAGCGUCAAAGACGCUCAUGUCUCCUAGCACUUUACGAGAGCACUUCUCUCGUGGUGAAACCGUGAAAUAGUGUUUUAUUUAUGUGAAAUAAGAAGCCGUCAAGUCGAUAUUCGAAAUUUUCCGUCACAUAAAAGUUCCAAACUCUUCAUCUAUGCGAUGGACAUCACUCAGUGGAGUGCUUCUGAAGUUAAGCAAGCUUUGGAAGCAGAAGGCUUUGAGUUGGAUAUCUGCGAAACUUUGUGUACGCUCAGAGAAUCUCAAUCCAACAUGUUCAAGUCAAGCUGAGACUGCGUGAACACCAAUGCUGACAAAGUACGCUCAGAGAAUCUCAAUCCAACAUGUUCAAGUCAAGCUGAGACUGUGAACACCAAUGCUGACAAAGUACGCUCAGAGAAUCUCAAUCCAACAUGUUCAAGUCAAGCUGAGACUUCAAACACCAAUGCUGACAAAGUGAGUCUGAUGGACUGAUGUGUUCCGUAAUAUUUCAUUUUUUGACGAUUGAUUGUAACUUCAAUACAAUAAUGUGUUACUCA